UACAACGGCUUUUCGUGCCGUAAAUGGGUUGUCUCCCUAAGUUUUUGGAGUAGGUUAAUUUAAGAC
This 66-nucleotide transfer RNA is filed under the name Pinctada imbricata (Akoya pearl oyster). RNAcentral's name for it is "tRNA-Glu". The record is from RNAcentral. Lineage: Eukaryota; Metazoa; Mollusca; Bivalvia; Pterioida; Pteriidae.